GGACGGGAGGGCAGGCUGGCCAUGACAUCCGUCACCCGCUGGCUGGCUGGUGAGUGCCCCCUUCCGCCCUCACUGCUCCCUGAGCACCCCUUCCAAAGCUGCCUGCUCCGUUGCGGACGACCACCUUCCCCGAAGAAGAAGAGGAGCUGCCUUUGGUCAAGGGUAUCCCAGCCAGCUGCGCUGGAGCCCCUGCAAGCAUCUCCAAACAAGCUCUUAGCGGAGCAUCCAAAUCUAAGGACAGAGUUGAUGGAAACAACCAGCAUGCACUGCCCUUGAAGUUUCCUUCAAGGU
RNAcentral lists this small nuclear RNA (291 nucleotides) under Echinops telfairi (small Madagascar hedgehog). Its description in RNAcentral is "7SK RNA (ENSETEG00000024914.1)". It matches the Rfam family "7SK RNA". From Rfam's summary of the family: 7SK was discovered as an abundant small nuclear RNA in the mid-70s but a possible function has only recently been suggested. Lineage: Eukaryota; Metazoa; Chordata; Mammalia; Afrosoricida; Tenrecidae. The record is from RNAcentral.